RNAcentral lists this long non-coding RNA (4560 nucleotides) under Linum usitatissimum (flax). RNAcentral describes it as "long non-coding RNA (LUSI_LNC006480)". Lineage: Eukaryota; Viridiplantae; Streptophyta; Magnoliopsida; Malpighiales; Linaceae. The record is from RNAcentral.
UCAAGAGUAUGUUGAGUGUCAGUGACACCUCUCCGUAGCUCCGGUAGAGGUAGAGUGCCGGGAUUGAGCAGUACAUGAAGCUCGCUGCUGUGAUCGCUCUCGCGUUGAGUUGGUCGGAAAUGUGGCCCGCUAGGAUCCCUCCCACUACGCCCCCCACGUCGAAAAGAGUUGAUAUGUUGCCUGCUGUUCUGUCCGAGAUGUACUUCCCGUCAAUUGCUGCAGGGGCAAAGUGAGCAAACAACGGAACAUUAGCCAACUGUAGCAUCUUUGAUCCGAUCUGAUUUAGACCGGGAUAGUUAAAGACUAUAGCUUUGUUUAACAAAUGGAAUGUUGGAUGACAUUCAAAUAGCAAUGACGAAGUUUGAUACUUGGCCGAAAAAUGCUUAAAAUUCCAUCCAAUUUUCCACCAGACAAACCAAAAUCGAUUAAAAACAGAGUCGAAUUUCGUCGGAUUAAGUACCUGUGUGGCUGAUGUAGAAUGGCAGCCAGUAGAGGAAAGUGUAGGCAACCAACUUAGCAAAGAAGAGACACACAGCAAAAGGAGCAACACCAGGAAUCCUCCAUGCUUCAAUAAACCUAACAGGUUUCUCUUCAAUCUGAUCUUCCAACAAUGGAUCGCUCUCGCUUAAUUCGCCAUUCUUCUCGAACUUCCCCUCAUCCUCGUCUUCCUCCUCCUCGUCCUCUCGAGCCCCGACGCUCGAAGGACUAACCCCCAAGAACAAAAACACCACAACCCCAACCACCCCGAUGGCGAACCCGGGCACAAUGAAUGACCACCCCCACCCAUACCUCAGCAUCGCGGCCGCAAUCAACGACCCGAAAAUGUUCCCGACCGAUGUAUGAGCAUUCCAAACCCCCAUGAUCAGCCCUCUCUUCUUCUUCCCGCACCAAUUCCCCACCACCGCAACCACAGAUGGCCACCCGGUUGACUGGAACAACCCGGCGACCAUCUGCAUUGCCAAAAAGUAAUAGAAGCUAUGGACGUCUAGCCAGAAACCCGCCCCGAAAAGGGCGGUGAAAACACCCGUCCCGAGCAUUCCUACCGUUAGAAAGAGGCGUAGAUUCAUCCUGUCGCCUAAAUGUCCCGAGAAAAACAUGCCAACAGCGUACGUGGACAAGAAAGCCAGGUCGACCUCGCCUAAAAGCGAGGUCCCGUCCGACCCAUUGAACGGCGCCCAUCCGGAGCCUAACGUCCACGGAAGCGUCACGGAGGGGCGGCGGCCGAUGGAGGAGCCUGAAUUGGGUGAUUGUUUGGGGUCAAGGGCGCUUUUGACAAUGCUGGUUGUUUUUCUUGCAGAGUGGUAUGCGGCGUAUGCGAGGAAUGUGACGAUUAGGACUACGGCUUGGUGGGUUUUGUAGGAUAGCUUCUUGUUCCCGUUUAGCUUCUCCAGGAAUCGGAUUCCGAUCGGUUUAGGGUUUGGUGGUGGUUGUGUCGUCGUCUCUGUCGCUGGUUGUUCAGGCAUUUGGCCCAUGUAAAAAUUCAGGCAAUCUGUACCAAUUAGAACGGCGAAAAUUCAAGUAAAGCAAGCAAAUUUAAAAUUCUCGUCAAAAACCCAAUAUAGAGCUCGGAAAACCUAAUGCGGGGGAAGAAGAAGAAUCUAAUACAGAGCUCGGAAAACCCAAUCAGACCAUCGAUGAAGUUUCGCCAAAAAAAAGACCAUCGAUGAAGCGAACUAAUCAAAAUAUCAAGCAAUACAUUCCAAUAAAAUCCCAUAUCCGGAAUCUCCGAUUGUUUCACAAAUUGAGGGGAAAGAGUAAUGAAAAAGACCUUCAAGUUGAAGAUCAUUUACCACCGUCUGGUUUUUCUGAGUUCUUCAGCUGCUUGCUUGCUUGCUGAAUGGGUUUUUUCCAGGUGAGGCGAUAUCCAACAUUGGGGAAGAACUGAUCGAGAUGAAUGGUAAUCGCAAUUUGAAUCCGAAUCUGUUAAGGGACUCAGUUACUAGUUUGUUAAAACUAGUUAGUUAGGCCGUUAGAUUGUUAGUUAAGAGUUUAUUGAGCGACUGCUUGUAUAUAUUACUUAAGAGGCUAGACUUGUUAUCCUCACGAUUCUUACCUUAGUAUGUUUUAGAUCAAGUGGGUUCAACUAUUGAUUCAGUAUGGAUAACACACUUGGUAAUCGAUUCUACAUCAAGUGAUAUCGCAUUUUAUAACAAAAGGUGCAUGUUAGGCGAAUUAAAAAAGGUGAGAUAUAACGAAAAAUUAUCGUAAAGAUGUAAUAGAGUUGUGAAAUGUAAUGUCUAAGUUGUCUUAAAAAUCCAGAAAAAACCUCUCCAAUUAACGGUUAAGUCUGCUCUCAAAGUCUAGAACAUAACUCUAAUGGUUGAGUGUUUUGUCAUUGUAGUGUGUUGUACAUCAUCCCUCUCUUUACUGAUUGACCACCAAAUGUAUAGCUAGAGCAUCAAAACCAGAUGGUGGGUUGGAAUCAUGCAACCCCAAAUCCAUUUGCAGCCAACCAAAGUUGCUUUUUUACACCACCAAACAAAUGGUUCAACAUCAAGAAAACCAAUAACCACCCAAUAAUUCUGCCUUUUUAUGUGACAAUUGAAGUGAUUUCAGCCAAGUUUUCACCAUCUUUUUUCCCAUGCAAGUUCCCAUCAAACCAUGGCCCCCUAGUGACCAACAUUUUCUUCCUUCUUUUGCACCAUGACUUUAAACUAAUAAAGAAAAAGAAAAAAUCAAAUCUACAAAAUAUUUUAUUAUUUUGGACCAGAUUGUAAGAAGAAUGACGGAAUUAGAGUGAGCAAAUCUAGAUAAUUGUUUAGGUAAUAUAUCUAUAUAGAUAUUAAACCGAUACAAAGAUAAUGACAAUAAAAUUGAAUAUGAAAACCUGCCUAAGUGUCUCAUCAUUGGAUAACAAUAUGAACUCUAUGUAAAAUUGUUUUAACUAAAGGUUAUGUCAAGUUUGUUUUUAAAAUUUGAAUUGAUCUUUGAACAUUACAUCUCACCAUCUGUAUCUCAACCAUUCUGAUUUCACUUUUGUCUAAAAGGCGUGAAAUAUUAAAUCAAUUUAUUUAUAUAAAGAAGAUAAUCAUGUAGCCGAUUCAUGUAGUCGAAUGCCCCACCAUAAUUAAAUACGUAUACGAUUUCUAUGUUUUCAAUUAAUUGGACUGGUCAUAUUAUAAUGAACAUGAUGCUUUUGAAAAUGGUUUGAUUGUAGAUGAAGAUUUAAGUAUAUUAACUUAAGAUUUUUUUAUAGGAAAAGAGAAAUAACCAUGAAAAUGAAAUUUCCCAAGGUUGAAUGUAUAGCACAAGGAUACAAAACGUUAUCCUGAAUUCAUUGAUCAGUCCAUUUGUUUUGUCCUUGUUCAAUACUUCAAUCACAAGAUUGUUCUUCCUCCUUUGGGGAUGCUCUACAAUUUUGGUCCACACCAUUCUUGGGUUAUGUACAUGAAAAAUGUGUAAACUCUAGUAGUUCCUGAAUGUACUAAUGGAAUGUACUAAUGGUAAUUUGAUCUCACGUCUCUUUAAAAUCGAAACCAACAAACCCAAUUCGCCUUCUAACAGUCGAUCUCAUAUCUCCUUGCACCAUGCACGGUGCAAAAAAGUGCACAGCGUUCGCUUGUAAAAAUUUUUGAUUUAAUAUAUCCCAUCUUGGCGACAGAUCUAUAAAAAAUCUCUUCCAGACCACAGUCCACCCCAUUUUGGAAACUUUUCAAAAUUGCUUUGUGUCCUUCACUAGUGGUAGUUUCAUCACAUUGAUGUAUAACAUACAAAAAAAAGUGGCACCAUCCACAUUACAAUACAAUGAUACAAAACCUCCCCAAAUUUCCCCACCCUAAUCUCUCUUCAAGGGACACAUUUUAACCUAAAAAUUGAACAUCUCCCCUUUGGACAUAAUUAGAAAUUAGCCAUCACAUUAAACACCAUAUGAACCCUUUGUGGUAUGUACAAAAGUCCAAAAAAUCUAAAACCCUAAAAAGCCCCUUUGUUUCAAACAUCAAGCUCAGCCACUUGAGAAGAACUACCACAACCACUAUUCCCCUGCUGCUGAGACUCAGCAAUCUUAGCAGCAACCUCUGCAACAACAAGCCUAGUCAAAAGCAACCCGGCCACGAAGGCCGAACCCAUGAGCAUUGUGAACACAGCACUCCAGCUCGUGGCCGAGAUGUAACCAGUCAGCAACGGCCCUAUCGCUGCACCAACCGACCCGGUUCCAUCGAUGAUCGCUGUCACUGUGGCCAGCGCCCUCGAGUUCCCCUUCAACGAGCUGUGCGUCCCCAAAUCGGCAGAGACAGCGGUCGUUAUGAGUGCGUACGGACCGUUCACGAACAUUCCCGUCAGCAGCAUCAGGAUUAUGUUGAGUGUCAGUGACACGUCUCCGUAGCUCCGGUAGAGGUAGAGUGCCGGGAUUGCACAGUACAUGAAGCUCGCCGCUGUGAUUGCUCUGGCGUUGAGCCGGUCGGAAAUGUGGCCCGCUAGGAUCCCUCCUACCACGCCUCCUACAUCGAAAAGGGUUGAUAGGUUGCCUGCUGUUCCGUCGGAAAUGUACUUCCCGUCGAUUGCUGCAAGGACAAAGUGAGCAAACAACAGAACAAGCAUUAGCCAAGAAAACUCAAAAUU